UGGGGAAUAUUGCACAAUGGGCGAAAGCCUGAUGCAGCAACGCCGCGUGAGUGAUGAAGGCCUUCGGGUUGUAAAGCUCUGUCUUCUGGGACGAUAAUGACGGUACCAGAGGAGGAAGCCACGGCUAACUACGUGCCAGCAGCCGCGGUAAUACGUAGGUGGCAAGCGUUGUCCGGAUUUACUGGGCGUAAAGGAUGCGUAGGCGGAUACUUAAGUCAGAUGUGAAAAUCCCGGGCUUAACUUGGGAACUGCAUUUGAAACUGGGUACCUAGAGUGCGGGAGAGGAAAGUGGAAUUCCUAGUGUAGCGGUGAAAUGCGUAGAGAUUAGGAAGAACACCAGUGGCGAAGGCGACUUUCUGGACCGUAACUGACGCUGAGGCAUGAAAGCGUGGGGAGCAAACA
Molecule: ribosomal RNA, 402 nt
Filed under: uncultured bacterium
Lineage: Bacteria
Description: bacterial SSU rRNA
Rfam family: Bacterial small subunit ribosomal RNA
Source: RNAcentral